GCCCGGGGGAUCCGCCCACUGCUCAGUAACACGUGGGUGACCUGCCCUCAGCUCUGGGAUAAGCCUGGGAAACUGGGUCUAAUACCGGAUAUGACCACAUGUCGCAUGGUGUGUGGUGGAAAGUUUUUUCGGCUGGGGAUGGGCCCGCGGCCUAUCAGCUUGUUGGUGGGGUGAUGGCCUACCAAGGCGACGACGGGUAGCCGGCCUGAGAGGGCGACCGGCCACACUGGGACUGAGACACGGCCCAGACUCCUACGGGAGGCAGCAGUGGGGAAUAUUGCGCAAUGGGCGAAAGCCUGACGCAGCGACGCCGCGUGGGGGAUGACGGCCUUCGGGUUGUAAACCUCUUUCGACCUUGACGAAGCCUUCGGGUGACGGUAGGGGUAGAAGAAGCACCGGCCAACUACGUGCCAGCAGCCGCGGUAAUACGUAGGGUGCGAGCGUUGUCCGGAAUUAUUGGGCGUAAAGAGCUCGUAGGCGGUCUGUCGCGUCGGUCGUGAAAACUUGGGGCUUAACCCUGAGCUUGCGGUCGAUACGGGCAUGACUUGAGUUCGGCAGGGGAGACUGGAAUUCCUGGUGUAGCGGUGAAAUGCGCAGAUAUCAGGAGGAACACCGGUGGCGAAGGCGGGUCUCUGGGCCGAUACUGACGCUGAGGAGCGAAAGCGUGGGGAGCGAACAGGAUUAGAUACCCUGGUAGUCCACGCCGUAAACGGUGGGCGCUAGGUGUGGGGGCCAUUCCACGGUCUCUGUGCCGCAGCUAACGCAUUAAGCGCCCCGCCUGGGGAGUACGGCCGCAAGGCUAAAACUCAAAGGAAUUGGCGGGGG
Molecule: ribosomal RNA, 825 nt
Filed under: uncultured bacterium
Lineage: Bacteria
Description: bacterial SSU rRNA
Rfam family: Bacterial small subunit ribosomal RNA
Source: RNAcentral